AGUGAACGCUGGCGGUAGGCCUAACACAUGCAAGUCGAACGGCAGCACAGUAAGAGCUUGCUCUUACGGGUGGCGAGUGGCGGACGGGUGAGGAAUACAUCGGAAUCUACUUUUUCGUGGGGGAUAACGUAGGGAAACUUACGCUAAUACCGCAUAUGACCUACGGGUGAAAGCAGUGGAUCUUCGGACCUUGCGCGAUUGAAUGAGCCGAUGUCGGAUUAGCUAGUUGGCGGGGUAAAGGCCCACCAAGGCGACGAUCCGUAGCUGGUCUGAGAGGAUGAUCAGCCACACUGGAACUGAGACACGGUCCAGACUCCUACGGGAGGCAGCAGUGGGGAAUAUUGGACAAUGGGCGAAAGCCUGACCCAGCCAUACCGCGUGGGUGAAGAAGGCCUUCGGGUUGUAAAGCCCUUUUGUUGGGAAAGAAAAGCAGCAGGUUAAUACCCCGCUGUUCUGACGGUACCCAAAGAAUAAGCACCGGCUAACUUCGUG
Molecule: ribosomal RNA, 492 nt
Filed under: uncultured bacterium
Lineage: Bacteria
Description: partial 16S ribosomal RNA
Rfam family: Bacterial small subunit ribosomal RNA
Source: RNAcentral